This is a long non-coding RNA of Nasonia vitripennis (jewel wasp), 1192 nucleotides long. RefSeq lists it as uncharacterized. Lineage: Eukaryota; Metazoa; Arthropoda; Insecta; Hymenoptera; Pteromalidae. The transcript is spliced from 2 exons. The record is from RefSeq and is a predicted model, not a curated record.
GAUCGCUUGUUGCCCGGCGAACUAAACAUGUAAGGAAAAGGGAGAUGCUUGCGAGAAGCCAUUGAGUGCAGUCGAAUUUUCUGAAAAAUAAAGUUUUCAUUUACGAAGCUAAAAAGUUCUAUCAUUGUUAAAUUAUACAUAAUAUCUGAAUGUUCCGAAACAGGGUGGAUAAAACUGUGGAACACAUCGUGCUGGGGGAAACCCAGGGCCCGCCCAAGCGCGUAGAAACUUUUUAUUGACCGGAUAAUCCAAGACCCUAGAAUAAAGGAAAAAGGAAUUUCGUUGGAAAUUUUAAAAUGCGCGUCUCAACUCGUAUAUUGUGCGUACACAACUGCAGUCGUGUAUUAUAUUGAAAAUUAUUACAGUACUGAGCUGUAUAACCAAUUGCUUCUAUCAAUUUUUGAGACGUUGCAGAUAACUGGUCAAUGUCCAAUUUCAGCAAAAAUUUACUUGACAAUGAGAAUACACCCGAUAAGAGCAAACUAAAGAGAAAAAUAGAUAUGGUAAUGCAAGACUUGACAUCCGAAGCACGCGCACUUGCUAUAUCUUCGAAAUCUCGACGUAGAUCUGUUACCGGCUGUACUUUAAUUACAUCAGAUUUAAGUAAUUACGUAUUUGACGAUGAAAAUAUUACUGAACUGAUCGAUGCAUCAGAAGAUGAUAGCGAUGAAUCUGAUUAUGAAUACAAAAUCUAUCUUCAAAAGCCAGCAAAAAGGCCUAAGAUAAUAACUCAUGCAGAUGAGAUAGCAUAGCAUAAAUCGUGCAAAAGGCUUAAAAUGUAAAGGCAUACCAAUCGAAGCUGAAAUGAAAUUAUGCAAUCUGAUGCGUGAUCAUGCACAAUAAUUUUAAUUAUAAUACUUUUACUGAUAGAACAAUAAUGUACUUAUUGCAAUUAUUUGGCCAUCUGAGACAUUAUAGCAAUCUUUCUAUAGAUAAAUAAAUACGAAAUAAACCAUAUUUAUUUAUAAUUUAUAUUUCGAAUAUUGAAAUAUGUAUGAGGUAAUAAGUAAAAAAGAAAGUUAAUGUCUAGUAUGAAAUGAAAUAUUAUGAUAUUAUAGUGUUAUAUCCAAAGUGCGACUUAAUUUCGCUAUUUAUAUUAAAUAAAUUAUCAUGCUUUACCAGUACAGCUUUUUAUGAAUUGUUUAUAAAAUAUAAUAAUUAUAUACAAGUUAUCUUAAAAUAAUAAAUUCAA